Molecule: ribosomal RNA, 341 nt
Filed under: Pheidole diana
Lineage: Eukaryota; Metazoa; Arthropoda; Insecta; Hymenoptera; Formicidae
Description: partial 12S ribosomal RNA
Source: RNAcentral
UUAUAAUAAAUAUAAAAAUUAAGAAGAAGUUAAAUGAAAGCAUUAAAUUUAAAUAGUUUGACGGUAUUUUAAAUAGUUAGAGGAAUUUGUUAGUUAAAUGAUGGUCCACGAAUGGAGAGUCCUAGUGAAGUUUUUAUGUAUUGUUGUAUAAAAAUUAUUUUAUAAGAAUUAUAAUUAAAAAAUUUAAUUUAAUUUGAAUUCAAAUCAAAAUGUAGAAUUGCUAGGUUUAAAUGAAUUACAUUUUAAUAUAAUAAUAGAAUUAUUUUUUUAAUAAGGUAAGGAAAUUGGAUUUAAUAGUAAGUUUAAAAAAAUUUUUAGAUUGAAAUAUUAAUUAAAAUAUG